RNAcentral lists this long non-coding RNA (634 nucleotides) under Carassius auratus (goldfish). Its description in RNAcentral is "lncRNA (ENSCARG00000007593.1)". The record is from RNAcentral. Lineage: Eukaryota; Metazoa; Chordata; Actinopteri; Cypriniformes; Cyprinidae.
GUGCCUAUUAACCUUUUAUCCACUGCACUACCUGUACUGUCCGCCAGGUGACACCAACACAACGCCAUUUAAAUGUGUUCCAGGUGUUCCCUGUUGCGUCAGUGUGUACAGCAGCACCAGCAGCUCUCAAUAAUAAUAACGAAAAAGAGAACGGAUUACCAUGGAACCUGGUAUUCUGGGGAUUUGUUUCUAAAGAAGUGAGGACAGAAGAGAAGGUGUGUGUGUGUAUGAGAUCGAAUUCUUCAAGCACUAGUAUAACUAGUAAUCUUCACCUUUAAGUACAUGCUUUGAAUCAGUCAAUCUGUGUACAGUAUGUGUUAUGUAAUAUUUAUAAAUUAAUUUUUAGGAAAUUAAGAUAUUAUUGAGUUGCAUGAAAAAAAUUUAGAUUUCCAUACUGGAUCCUAUUUUUGAUUCAAAGCUACUUACAGUUACUAGUGUUACAAGGCGAAUAUAAAUGUUAAAAUCAAAUGGUGUUAUAGAAUUAUAAUAAUAAACACAUUUCUAUGUUCUCCAAAAAUUCCAAAAUACGCUGAAGAAUUCACAGUUUGGGAAAUUGUUUUUAAAAUGAGGCAGUUUAAAUAAAGCAGCAUUAACUUCCUUAUAAUUGAUUAUUUAACUUAUGACAUUGAAUUUU